RNAcentral lists this ribosomal RNA (446 nucleotides) under Actinoplanes sp. HSS-7002. Its description in RNAcentral is "bacterial SSU rRNA". It matches the Rfam family "Bacterial small subunit ribosomal RNA", at positions 1 to 457 of the family's 1533-position model. The record is from RNAcentral. Lineage: Bacteria; Bacillati; Actinomycetota; Actinomycetes; Micromonosporales; Micromonosporaceae.
UAGAGUUUGAUCCAUGGCUCAGGACGAACGCUGGCGGCGUGCUUAACACAUGCAAGUCGAGCGGAAAGGCCCUUCGGGGUACUCGAGCGGCGAACGGGUGAGUAACACGUGAGCAACCUGCCCUAGGCUUUGGGAUAACCCUCGGAAACGGGGGCUAAUACCGAAUAUGACCUCGCAUCGCAUGGUGUGUGGUGGAAAGUUUUUCGGCCUGGGAUGGGCUCGCGGCCUAUCAGCUUGUUGGUGGGGUGAUGGCCUACCAAGGCGACGACGGGUAGCCGGCCUGAGAGGGCGACCGGCCACACUGGGACUGAGACACGGCCCAGACUCCUACGGGAGGCAGCAGUGGGGAAUAUUGCACAAUGGGCGGAAGCCUGAUGCAGCGACGCCGCGUGAGGGAUGACGGCCUUCGGGUUGUAAACCUCUUUCAGCAGGGACGAAGCGUAAGA